Molecule: long non-coding RNA, 527 nt
Organism: Uranotaenia lowii
Lineage: Eukaryota; Metazoa; Arthropoda; Insecta; Diptera; Culicidae
Exons: 3
Source: RefSeq, a predicted model, not a curated record
CUCAGAACGGCUAACUUCACCCAAAAUCAUCUGUCAUCCCGCACGGUCACUCUCCUUCUCUGAGUUAUCCAUAGGCGUCGUGCUCAACCAGGGACGUCACGGGGAAGUGUGGGCACCCAGAGAGCGACACACCGUGUAAAUUUGCCUCCGAAUAAAUAUGUAUGUGUGUCGGUCCACUGAAAGUAAAGUCUCGCAAAUAUUUUCAGAGCGGAACAUGUUCUUUCUGUCUGUGACCUCGUUAGAGUGCGCGUCGUGUGUAGUCAAAAGUUAAAAAGUACCAAAAGUUAUACGUAUUACGAACACUAAAAGUAGUACGGUGCGGUUAUUAAAAAUUAGUACGAUUAAGAAAUUGUUAAAAGAACAUAAACAGUGUGAACAGAACUAAACAAAAAAGCAACAAAGAAAAGGUAAAUAACUGAACAACAAAAACAGUAGAUUUGUAAACCACGUGGACUAUGUAAACUUUGUUAUGUCACUGGUACUAUAACCCUUCUUGGCAGGUCCAAGAGGGCCUUUUCUUAUUUUGU